UGAAGGAUGCAGGAGGAAAGUCCGGGCAACACAGAGCACUCUGCUUCCUAACUCGAAGCCGUCUGUAAAGGUGGAUUAGUGCAGAAGAAAACAACCGCCAUUUCUGCUACUUGCAGGAAAAGGUAAGGGUGAGAAGGCGAGGUAAGAGCUCACCAGGCAUGUGGCGACACAUGUGCUGUGCACAUCAGAGGUUGAAAGUUCAUGUAUACCAGCGUCAGAGGGCUGCUCGUCCGAUGAUGAUUCCAAUCAUCUCGCUGGAGGGUAGAACGAUACAGCUUGUUGGCGACAGCAAGCGCGGAUAAAUGACAAGCGCUAUAGUUGCCCUUGGUAACUAUAAGCACAGAACCCGGCUUAUAGGCCGACUGA
This 366-nucleotide RNase P RNA is filed under the name uncultured Prevotellamassilia sp. RNAcentral's name for it is "Bacterial RNase P class A". It matches the Rfam family "Bacterial RNase P class A". Rfam says of the family: Ribonuclease P (RNase P) is a ubiquitous endoribonuclease, found in archaea, bacteria and eukarya as well as chloroplasts and mitochondria. The record is from RNAcentral. Lineage: Bacteria; Pseudomonadati; Bacteroidota; Bacteroidia; Bacteroidales; Prevotellaceae.